RNAcentral lists this ribosomal RNA (992 nucleotides) under uncultured bacterium. RNAcentral's name for it is "bacterial SSU rRNA". It matches the Rfam family "Bacterial small subunit ribosomal RNA", at positions 8 to 1000 of the family's 1533-position model. The record is from RNAcentral.
AGAGUUUGAUCCUGGCUCAGAACGAACGCUGGCGGCGUGCUUAACACAUGCAAGUCGCGUGCGCAGUUUCCGUAGCAAUACGGGGAUGGGCGCACGGCGCACGGGUGCGUAACACGUGGGCAAUCUGCCCUCCGAUGGGGAAUACCCCCGCGAAAGCGGGACUAAUUCCGCAUAACAUUCCUUGGAUUAACUUUCGAGGAUUCAAAGCAGCAAUGCGUCGGAGGAGGAGCCCGCGCCCGAUUAGCUAGUUGGCGAGGUAACGGCUCACCAAGGCAAUGAUCGGUAGCUGGUCUGAGAGGAUGGCCAGCCACACUGGAACUGAGACACGGUCCAGACUCCUACGGGAGGCAGCAGUGGGGAAUCUUGCACAAUGGGCGAAAGCCUGAUGCAGCGACGCCGCGUGGGGGAUGAAGCUUUUCGGAGUGUGAACCCCUUUCGACUGGGACGAAUGCCUCGCAAGAGGAGUGACGGUACCAGUAUAAGAAGCCCCGGCUAACUACGUGCCAGCAGCCGCGGUAAGACGUAGGGGGCCAGCGUUGUUCGGAAUUACUGGGUGUAAAGGGUUCGUAGGCGGUGUGGCAAGUCGGGAGUGAAAUCUCUGGGCUCAACCCAGAGACUGCUUCCGAAACUGCUGUGCUUGAGUGUGAGAGAGGCUCGUGGAAUUGCAGGUGUAGCGGUGAAAUGCGUAGAUAUCUGCAGGAACACCCGUGGUGAAAGCGGCGAGCUGGAUCACUACUGACGCUGAGGAACGAAAGCUAGGGGAGCAAACAGGAUUAGAUACCCUGGUAGUCCUAGCCCUAAACGAUCAGGACUUGGGGUGCCGCCCGUUCGGGCGUCGUCCCGGAGCUAACGCGUUAAGUCCUGCACCUGGGGAGUACGGUCGCAAGACUGAACUCAAGGAAUUGACGGGGGCCCGCACAGCGGUGGAACAUGUGGUUCAAUUCGACGCUACGCGAGGAACCUUACCUGGGCUCGAAAUGCUAGUGACCAGC